GACGAACGCUGGCGGCGUGCUUAACACAUGCAAGUCGAACGGUGACGAAUGGAGCUUGCUCUGUUCUGAUCAGUGGCGAACGGGUGAGUAACACGUGAGUAACCUGCCCCUGACUCUGGAAUAACUUCGGGAAACCGAAGCUAAUACCGGAUAUGACACAGAGCCGCAUGGUUUCUGUGUGGAAAGUUUUUCGGUUGGGAUGGACUCGCGGCCUAUCAGCUUGUUGGUGAGGUAAUGGCUCACCAAGGCGACGACGGGUAGCCGGCCUGAGAGGGCGACCGGCCACACUGGGACUGAGACACGGCCCAGACUCCUACGGGAGGCAGCAGUGGGGAAUAUUGCACAAUGGGCGAAAGCCUGAUGCAGCGACGCCGCGUGAGGGAUGAAGGCCUU
This 393-nucleotide ribosomal RNA is filed under the name uncultured bacterium. Its description in RNAcentral is "bacterial SSU rRNA". It matches the Rfam family "Bacterial small subunit ribosomal RNA", at positions 28 to 418 of the family's 1533-position model. The record is from RNAcentral.